This 2746-nucleotide ribosomal RNA is filed under the name Haematococcus lacustris. RNAcentral's name for it is "LSU rRNA". It matches the Rfam family "Bacterial large subunit ribosomal RNA", at positions 21 to 2644 of the family's 2925-position model. The record is from RNAcentral. Lineage: Eukaryota; Viridiplantae; Chlorophyta; Chlorophyceae; Chlamydomonadales; Haematococcaceae.
AYGGYGGAGACCUAGGCACCCAGAGACGAUGAAGGGCGCAGAUACCGGCGAAACGCUUCGGGGAGCUGGCAACAAGCAUAGAUCCGAAGAUCCCCGAAUAGGGCAACCUGCAAAACUACCAACAAAAUUCAUAAGUUGGAAAGAGAGAACCCAGUGAAUUGAAACAUCUUAGUAGCUGGUGGAAAAGAAAGCAAACGCGAUUCCCGUAGUAGCGGCGAGCGAACCGGGAACAGCCUAAACCUUGUAUGUGCGUUUACGUACAUAAGGGGUAGUGGGAAGACUAAUAAAUUAAAUAAGUGGCUUAUCUUACUUACUUAUAAGUAAGUAAGUAAGUAAGAAUAAAAAACGAAGCAGCUGAAACCUGCACCAUAGAUGGUGAAAGUCCAGUAGUUGCAAUGUAAAAUAGAAUAAGUAAAGUCUAAUCCCGAGUAGCAUGGGACACGUGGAAUCCCGUGUGAAUCAGCGAGGACCACCUCGUAAGGCUAAAUACUACUGGGUGACCGAUAGAGAAAGAGUACUGCGAAGGAACGUUGAAAAGAACCCCCGUAGGGAGUGAAAUAGAACAUGAAACCGUAUGCUUACUAGCAGUGGGAGGGGUCGCCUACUCCUGUUCUUAUAGGUAGGAGUAGAGAACGCCUGACCGCGUGCCUGUUGAAGAAUGAGCCGGCGACUUAGAGGGUCUGGCAGGUUAAGGAGGAAGUUCCGGAGCCAACGCGAAAGCAAGUCUGAAUAGGGCAAAGAAAAGUCAGAUCCUCUGGACCCGAACCCGGGUGAUCUAAUCAUGACCAGGAUGAAGCUUGGGUAACACUUAGUGGAGGUCCGAACCGACCGAUGUUGAAAAAUCGGCGGAUGAGUUGUGAUUAGGGGAGAAAUUCCAAUCGAACUCGGAGCUAGCUGGAUCUCCCCGAAAUGCGUUUGGGCGCAGCGGUCAACGAAAAAGUUGAACUUCAACCAAUAGGAGCCGUCAUGGGGUAAAGAUACUGUUUCGAUGCGGGCUGCGAAAGCGGUACCAAGUCGUGGCAAACUCAGAAUACAUGAUGUAGCCUUCCGUUAGCCAGUGAGACUCGAAGGGAGAAGCUUUCGUUAGUCAAGAGGGAAACAGCCCAGAUCACCAGCUAAGGCCCCUAAAUGGUCACUAAGUGGGAAAGGAUGUGAGAAUGCUGUAACAACCAGGAAGUUCGCUUAGAAGCAGCUACCUUUAAAAGAGUGCGUAAUAGCUCACUGGUAAAGCGUUCUUGCGCCGACAAUGGCCGGGACUUAGAAAAGUGACCUGCCGAAGCUGUGAGAUUUAGAGAAUCUAAAUCGGUAGGGGAGCGUUCCGUUUUUGGGUGAAGUUUCCAUGGAAAUGGGAAUGGACAGAUCGGAAGUGAGAAUGUUGGCUUGAGUAACGAAAACAUUGGUAAGAAUCCAAUGCCCCGAAAACCGUUGGGUUCCUCCACUAGGUUCGUCCAUGGGGGGUGAGUCAGGACCUAAGGCAAGGCCGAAAGGCGUAGUCGAUGGAAAACAGGUUAAGAUUCCUGUACUGUUUUUAUUGGGAACCAAGGGACGAAGUAGACUAAACUGGGACUGUGAUUGGAAUACAUUGGAAGCGUUAAAGCAGACGAUUUUAGAAAAAAAACUAAAAUAAAGGAAAACGUGACCCCUAUUCUUAUAAGUAAUUAGAAGAGUAGCCAGUGAUGUCAAACUUCCAAGAAAAGCUUGUACACCAAAAAGAAAUUUUAAACAAUAAAAAUACUUGUACCUGAAACCGACACAGGUAGGUUGGUAGAGUAUACUAAGGGGCGCGAGAGAACUCUCUCUAAGGAACUCGGCAAAUUAACCCCGUAACUUCGGUAGAAGGGGUGCCUUAUUUCUAAAUAAGGUCGCAGAGAAAUGGCUUAAGCGACUGUUUAUCAAAAACACAGGUCUCCGCAAAGUCGAAAGACAAUAUAUGGGGGCUGACGCCUGCCCAGUGCCGGAAGGUUAAGGAAGUUGGUUAUUAUUAUUUAUAAUAAAAAGCUGAUAACCGAAGCCCCGGUGAACGGCGGUUGUAACUAUAACAAUCCUAAGGUAGCGAAAUUCAUUGUCAAGUAAGUUUUGACCUGCACGAAAGGCGUAACGAUUUAAGCACUGUCUCGGAGAGAGGCUCGGUGAAAUAGACUUGUCCGUGAAGAUGCGGACUAUAUCUACUUGGACAGAAAGACCCUAUGAAGCUUUACUGUAUCCUGGAAUUGGGUUCGGGCUUUUCUUGCGCAGUCUAGGUGGGAGGCGACGAAGAUCUUCUUCCGGGAAGGUCAGAGCCAAAAUUGAGAGACCACUCUGGAAGAGCUAGAAUCCUAAGGGUGUUCUUAAAAGAAAUGUAUAAGACACUUAACAGUUUCAGGAGGGCAGUUUCACUGGGGCGGUGGCCUCCUAAAGCGUAACGGAGGUGUGCAAAGGUUCUUUCAGCCUGGACGGAAAUCAGGCAUUGAGUGCAAAGGCAAAAGGGAGCUUGACUGCAAGACCUACAAGUCGAGCAGGGGCGAAAGCCGGCCUUAGUGAUCCGACGAUUCCAUGUGGAAGGGUCGUCGCUCAACGGAUAAAAGUUACUCUAGGGAUAACAGGCUUAUUUUCCCCAAGAGUUCACAUCGACGGGAAAGUUUGGCACCUCGAUGUCGGCUCAUCACAUCCUGGAGCGGUAGUACGUUCCAAGGGUUGGGCUGUUCGCCCAUUAAAGUGGUACGUGAGCUGGGUUCAAAACGUUGUGAGACAGUUCGGUCCAUAUCCG